CCCUUAGAUGUUCUGGGCCGCCCGCGCGCUACACUGACGAAUGCAACGAGCUUAUAACCUUGGCCGAAAGGUCUGGGUAAUCUCCAAAUUUCGUCGUGAUGGGGAUAGAUUAUUGCAAUUAUUAAUCUUCAACGAGGAAUGCCUAGUAAGCGCAAGUCAUCAGCUUGCGUUGAUUACGUCCCUGCCCUUUGUACACACCGCCCGUCGCUCCUACCGAUUGAAUGGUCCGGUGAAGCGUUCGGACCGUGGCCUUUGGACGGUUCGCCGUCUGUUGGCUGCGGGAAGUUCGUUAAACCUUAUCAUUUAGAGGAAGGAGAAGUCGUAACA
RNAcentral lists this ribosomal RNA (327 nucleotides) under uncultured eukaryote. RNAcentral describes it as "partial 18S ribosomal RNA". It matches the Rfam family "Eukaryotic small subunit ribosomal RNA", at positions 1470 to 1796 of the family's 1831-position model. The record is from RNAcentral.